Ipomoea triloba (trilobed morning glory) is the source of this 641-nucleotide long non-coding RNA. RefSeq lists it as uncharacterized. NCBI's taxonomy places the organism in Eukaryota, Viridiplantae, Streptophyta, Magnoliopsida, Solanales, Convolvulaceae. The transcript is spliced from 2 exons. The record is from RefSeq and is a predicted model, not a curated record.
AUUCCUUAUUUGUGAAAAUCUCAUCGUUCCAUUUUCUUUGCUCAAUCGUUGAAUCCACUUCUCUUGGUGUGCAUGGCGUGGCUAGGAGCGCAAGGUCGUAAUAGGCAUGGAAGUAGUAGAUUAGGUUACAAUGAAGGGUGUGCACAGUAAUGCAGUUCUUGUGGCCUCUUCCAAACCACAAAAGAUCGAAAAAAACAAGAAGGUUUCUAAAGUGAAACCAACUAGAGGAGUGACAAAAACAAAAGGGAUAGUUACAUACAAGGGAAAAUGUUUCUGUUGCUAUAAAGAAGGACAUUGGAAAAGAAAUUGUAUAUAUUACUUGAAGUCUUUGAAGGUUAAAGGUAAUGGAAAUCCUUUCGAAGGUAUGCCUUUAAUACUCAUGUGUGAAACUAGUUUUUCAAUUGGUCAAAAUACUACUUCUUGGAUAUUAGACUCAGGAGCAACUUCUAGUUGCAUGAUUUGAGAAAAAAAGUAGGGAGCUAACUGAAAAUGAGAUUGCUCUAAAGAUGUAAAAUGGAGUCAAAGUUACUGCAUUGGUUGUUGGAGUUUUAUCUAUUUAGUUACUGCCAAAUCAUAAUUUAAUUUUAAAAGACUCUUUAUGUGUUCCUAGUAUUUUUAGAAAUGUUAUUUCCAUUACAAUA